RNAcentral lists this ribosomal RNA (407 nucleotides) under uncultured bacterium. RNAcentral describes it as "bacterial SSU rRNA". It matches the Rfam family "Bacterial small subunit ribosomal RNA", at positions 102 to 518 of the family's 1533-position model. The record is from RNAcentral.
ACGGGUGAGUAACGCGUGAGCAACCUGUCCCAGACAGGGGGAUAACACUUGGAAACAGGUGCUAAUACCGCAUAAGACCACGGGGUCACAUGGCCCAGGGGUAAAGGAGCGAUCCGGUUUGGGGUGGGCUCGCGUCCGAUUUAGAUAGUUGGUGAGGUAACGGCCCACCAAGUCAACGAUCGGUAGCCGACCUGAGAGGGUGAUCGGCCACAUUGGAAUUUGAGAGACGGUCCAAACUCCUACGGGAGGCAGCAGUGGGGAAUAUUGGGCAAUGGGCGAAAGCCUGAACCCCCAGCAACGCCGCGUGAGUGAAGAAGGCCUUCGGGUUGUAAAGCUCUGUUAUAGUUGACGAAGGAAGUGACGGUAGGCUAUAAGGAAGCCCCGGCUAACUACGUGCCAGCCGCUGC